GGAAUGGGUAGUACCCAAGUGUUGUGACCCAAUGCUUGUCUACCACCCGUUCCAA
Molecule: microRNA precursor, 55 nt
Filed under: Cordylochernes scorpioides
Lineage: Eukaryota; Metazoa; Arthropoda; Arachnida; Pseudoscorpiones; Chernetidae
Source: RNAcentral